CUUUGUUGACAUCACUGAUACACAUCCACUGUCCAUCAACCGAUUCCUUCCACAGAGUAACCUGAAAGCAAAAGCCUUCAUCAUCAUAAGCCAGGAUGUUGGCUGUGAUCGACCAGCUCACGUGCCACACAACGUCAUUGAACUUGUGCAGUAAUCUGGGAGACCACGUAUUUCCAGAGGCAUCAUCGCAGGUCCAGAUGAACACACGACCAUCCUGGAGAAAAGUGCAGCAGGAGCUCACCUGGGAGCAGCUGGCGAUGGUGCUCGUCGGCAGGCCAAUGGAGGGGGCCCAGGCUACAUCUCGGACCCAGUCGCUGUGAGCUUCCAGCUUCUGAUCCUCCUUCCACUGACCAUCCUCCUCCUCCCUAAAGCGAAAACAGGAGAGGGAGUAAAGCAGCUCAUGGCCUGCUUUUUUCCAGUUUUCACUAGGGUUUGUGACCUGUUGCUUCUUGGACAGUAUUCAAAGGCCCCGAACAGGCAGUUUUCCAAAGAUAAGCUCUCAACAACAGCAUAAAAGAUUGUAUCAAAUCAACAAUUUUAAGAGAAAUGCAAAUAAGAACACUUCUGAAGCUUCACUUCCCUGCUAUGUGAUUGACAAAAAUGACAAGAUCAAAAUGGGAAGUACUGGUGGGGCUGUAGGAAAACAGGCAACUCUAUAAACUGGUCUAAUCAUUAUGGAAAAAAAAUUUGGAACAACACUAAAAGAUUCAAGUGUACAUACUAAAGUGUAUUGGCACUUUCUUACCAGGACCAUGCUCUAUUCCUGUUAAGUCAAAGACAGAGGGAGAAGUCUUGUAUAUACAGAAACAGUUAUGGCACCUCUUCUGAUUUCAAAACUCUGAUCAAUGCAGUGAACUAUUGGGACUUCAGAAGACUUUUGGUGAAGCAUCAUUCUUCCUACUUCUCUAUGAAAAAAGGGUGACCAUGUGUACAGAAUGAGGAAAAAUGUUCAGAUGUGGUCAAUGUGUGGAUUUGUCUUUCUCAAAUGUAAAAGGUAAAGUUCAAUAAAGGCUGGGGAGAAGAAUAAUGCAGUGAACAGUGGUACAUAAAAAAGCAUUAAAACAUUUAAAAAGAAAAAACAAUACUCCGGUGUUUUAGGUUUAGUGCUCUGGAGUAGAGGGAAAUGCCAGUGGCACACUUCAGUGCAGCACAAGGUUGCCAGCCUGUGGCACUGCUUCAGAGCGGCCCUGUGGUAAGCAGCUGACGCCAAACUCCCUGCUAGGCCACUUGUGAGUCACUGCUUAUAAGACUGGCACCACAUGCUAGCCAGGCUGAUGGGCACCAGGCCCCAAUUACUGGCAUGAGAGAAUGACAAUUCUCUAUCAUGCUGGCACCGGAGGCCCUCAGUCUCCUGGAUAACCUUGGUGAGAGAAAAGGAAACCUCUUUCCCCUGAGCUGGGGCCGUGGUUGCCCCCUGCUACUCUGGAGCGGACCCACGUGCACACUGCCUGUAACUCCAGCACUUACGGUGUGGGCGUUGUUGAUCUUCUUCACUUCCCACUGUCCCUCGCCGCUGUAGCUCAGCAGGGAAAUGGCUCCGUCGGAGCUGCCGCAGGCCAGGAGGAGCCCGUAGUCGUGGGGGGCCCAGCACACAGAGUUCACUGUUAUAGAGACAGCGACAGUGAGGGACAAAUAGCAUCCCAGGAAGGAGAGUUAACCAAGGGACAUGCCAGAGAAAGUAACUAAAGGCCAGCCCUCGGGAAGCACUGAGAGUGAGACAGGAGAGAGAGCCUGGCCCUGGACGUCUGGGACCACAGCACCACUCACUUCUCGGCAGUUACCUGCCUCCCCCCCCACCUGAAGAGUCGUGUCCUGUGUAUUCGUAUGUUUUCUCCCAUGUGCCAUUUUCUUCUUUCCAGAUGAUGACUUUCCGGUCAUAGGAGCAGGAGGCUAAGAUGUUUCCAUACAUAGGAUGAGCCCAGGCCACUUGCCACACGGGGCCUUCGUGACUAGGAGAAAAGUCCAAAAUUUAUACAUCACCAAAACAGGGUUUGGGGAUCUGUCCCAUAAAAUUCUGGAUUCACAAAUGGGCAGAUUUGACAAUGGCUUCUUGAAGGGCACAAUAGAAUGGACUGGGACCACAGCUUCAUGGCUGGAAAGGCCACGGAGGCCCAAUGAGGGUCAUGCAUCUCCUCAUCCAAGAUCCCCAAGACGGGGCAGCCAUCCUGAAUUCAGCCAGUAUUCUUUCCAUUGUACCACCAGGAAUCCUGCCCUAUUAUUUAUUACCUCUAUGACCCUAAGGAAGCUUUUCUGCUCUUGGGAGACUUAAUUCCCUAAUCUAACAAAAGCAAGUGAGUGGGAGUGGAUUAUAAUAAAUUUUAAAGGUCCCUUCUAACUCUAUUCUAUAGUUCUAUUACUGGUUAAGAACAAAAUUAUUCAUAUAAUGAUAGAAACAAUGGCUUUCCCCCAAUUUCUA
Long non-coding RNA from Sarcophilus harrisii (Tasmanian devil), 2416 nucleotides. RefSeq lists it as uncharacterized. The record is from RefSeq and is a predicted model, not a curated record. NCBI's taxonomy places the organism in Eukaryota, Metazoa, Chordata, Mammalia, Dasyuromorphia, Dasyuridae. The transcript is spliced from 4 exons.